AGAGUUUGAUCCUGGCUCAGAACGAACGCUGGCGGCGUGCUUAACACAUGCAAGUCGAGUGCGCGUACCGUAGCAAUACGGUAUGGCGCACGGCGCACGGGUGCGUAACACGUGGGCAAUCUGCCCUUCGAUGGGGAAUAACCUCGCGAAAGCGAGGCUAAUUCCGCAUAACAUUCCUUGGACUUCGGUUCGAGGACUCAAAGCCGUAAGGCGUCGAAGGAGGAGCCCGCGCACGAUUAGCUAGUUGGUAGGGUAACGGCCUACCAAGGCUUUGAUCGUUAGCUGGUCUGAGAGGAUGGCCAGCCACACUGGAACUGAGACACGGUCCAGACUCCUACGGGAGGCAGCAGUGGGGAAUCUUGCACAAUGGGCGAAAGCCUGAUGCAGCGACGCCGCGUGGGGGAUGAAGCAUUUCGGUGUGUAAACCCCUUUCGACCCGGACGAAUGCCUCGCAAGAGGAGUGACGGUACGGGUAUAAGAAGCCCCGGCUAACUACGUGCCAGCAGCCGCGGUAAGACGUAGGGGGCCAGCGUUGUUCGGAAUUACUGGGUGUAAAGGGUUCGUAGCGGGUGGCAAGUUGGGAGUGAAAUCUCUGGGCUCAACCCAGAGCUGCUUCC
This 617-nucleotide ribosomal RNA is filed under the name uncultured bacterium. Its description in RNAcentral is "bacterial SSU rRNA". It matches the Rfam family "Bacterial small subunit ribosomal RNA", at positions 8 to 628 of the family's 1533-position model. The record is from RNAcentral.